Molecule: long non-coding RNA, 1656 nt
Organism: Bubalus bubalis (water buffalo)
Lineage: Eukaryota; Metazoa; Chordata; Mammalia; Artiodactyla; Bovidae
Exons: 4
Source: RefSeq, a predicted model, not a curated record
CUAAAUGUGCAAAGUUGGGGGUUUCUGCUUUUGAGUAAAUUCUAUUGGUGUCUGUGUUGCUUAAGAAAUAAUGACGUUGAAUCUAUCAACUCUGAAAAACCAUCUGCCUGGGAUCAUCUGAUUUCCUUAACUUGAUCUUCCCAACAAAAGAGGCGAGAAAUUCUGGGCGCGCAGGCCAAAGCGAGCCUCAGGGGCUCAGCGCUCCCAGCAGAACCGGUCUGACUCCAGGAAGAGACGGCCGCUUCCCUCCUCCAGAUCCCUCUCGGUCUUUCCUGCUGGCCUUCUGGAUCAGUCUCCCUGGUAUGGUCUAUCCCCCCACCUCCUUCCACCUGGGCUCUGUUGCUUCUCUUUCUCCCCACCACUCCACUUUCCCCAGAUUCUCGGUCCUCUCACCUCUAAAAUCCUACUUUAAAAGCGCAAAUACCCAACACGCUCCGGGAGACCCGCCCCGCGCCACCCCCGCCCCGCCCAUCGCCACCUUCAGGUUCACGGCUGGCAGCUCCAUCGCGACCCAGCCGGACAGCACCUGCGCCACAACCGCGGGGGCUCCUGGUCUCCGAACUCGGGAAACAAACUUGCCGGCCCCGCCCCGCCGACUGCCCUCUGCCCGCGCUCCAACCCCAGCUGGGCUGGGGGGCCACGUGAGUAGGUCAUGUGACGACUGCCCGGUAGCUAGGAGACGGCGUCUUGCCGCUCGAGCCUUCACCGCGCCACUGCCCAGUGAAAGUGAAGACGGUUACCUACCUCAUAGAAUCCUUGUGAGGAUGAAUGAACUAAUUCAUGUUUGAAGAAAAAAUGAAUCUGACACUUGCUUUAAAGGAGGGGAGAGACCACGUGGAAACCUGCAAAACUGCCUGGGUGGGUCCUAAGAUCCUAUCAAGACACAGACUCUCUCCAGAUACAAAGAAUGAAGUUUUCCAGGUGGAUGUGGGGUCUUCUGCAGGGCCCCGGAGUCUGCUGGCCUAUUUGAAUGUCCCUUUUGGAGACACAGCUGUCCAGCCCCCUGAGCAGAACAGCACAUCUGCCAGAAUAACGGAGAGCCGGUAAGCUUCAGAGAGAGACCGGACAGAUGACUACACUGGGCACGAUUGUUGGGAUUCAGAGCCCAGAGGACUAGCUGGACCAGAGAAAAGAGUUUGAGUCCUAACUUUGUCCACUUACUGGUUCUACUUGAGCAAGUCACUUUGCCUCUCUGUGCUUACAGUUUUCUAAUAUGUAAAAUGAGAGAAAUAAUAGUAUCUUCCUUGAAGGAUGGUUAUUUUGAAUUUGUUAAUAAGGAUUUGUUAAUAUAUAAAAACGUUUAGAACAUUGCCUGGCAGACAGCACUCAGUCAGGACUUGCUACUGUUUUGAUAUUCAUUAUUAGUUAAUUAUCAUUAAUUAUUGUUACUGGCAUAGUACCUAGAAGAGAGGAAUUCCUCAAUAACUAGUGGAUAUUAUAACAUUAUUAUUAUAUUGUUUCCUUCUAAGAGAUAUCUCCUAUAAACCCUAGAUUCUAGAGGUGUUUAAUCCAAGCAUGUAGGUAUAUAGUAAAACUGAUCACCUUGUAAGGAGAAAAUGCAAAACAAACAAUUCCUGGUAUUAGAGCUGACAUUUAUUAAGUACAGUUUUGUGGCAAACAAUGUGAAAAGUGCUCAUAAUAAAUAUUCAUAACAAC